Molecule: ribosomal RNA, 1480 nt
Filed under: Limosilactobacillus fermentum
Lineage: Bacteria; Bacillati; Bacillota; Bacilli; Lactobacillales; Lactobacillaceae
Description: bacterial SSU rRNA
Rfam family: Bacterial small subunit ribosomal RNA
Source: RNAcentral
GGUGUGCCUAAUACAUGCAAGUCGAACGCGUUGGCCCAAUUGAUUGAUGGUGCUUGCACCUGAUUGAUUUUGGUCGCCAACGAGUGGCGGACGGGUGAGUAACACGUAGGUAACCUGCCCAGAAGCGGGGGACAACAUUUGGAAACAGAUGCUAAUACCGCAUAACAGCGUUGUUCGCAUGAACAACGCUUAAAAGAUGGCUUCUCGCUAUCACUUCUGGAUGGACCUGCGGUGCAUUAGCUUGUUGGUGGGGUAACGGCCUACCAAGGCGAUGAUGCAUAGCCGAGUUGAGAGACUGAUCGGCCACAAUGGGACUGAGACACGGCCCAUACUCCUACGGGAGGCAGCAGUAGGGAAUCUUCCACAAUGGGCGCAAGCCUGAUGGAGCAACACCGCGUGAGUGAAGAAGGGUUUCGGCUCGUAAAGCUCUGUUGUUAAAGAAGAACACGUAUGAGAGUAACUGUUCAUACGUUGACGGUAUUUAACCAGAAAGUCACGGCUAACUACGUGCCAGCAGCCGCGGUAAUACGUAGGUGGCAAGCGUUAUCCGGAUUUAUUGGGCGUAAAGAGAGUGCAGGCGGUUUUCUAAGUCUGAUGUGAAAGCCUUCGGCUUAACCGGAGAAGUGCAUCGGAAACUGGAUAACUUGAGUGCAGAAGAGGGUAGUGGAACUCCAUGUGUAGCGGUGGAAUGCGUAGAUAUAUGGAAGAACACCAGUGGCGAAGGCGGCUACCUGGUCUGCAACUGACGCUGAGACUCGAAAGCAUGGGUAGCGAACAGGAUUAGAUACCCUGGUAGUCCAUGCCGUAAACGAUGAGUGCUAGGUGUUGGAGGGUUUCCGCCCUUCAGUGCCGGAGCUAACGCAUUAAGCACUCCGCCUGGGGAGUACGACCGCAAGGUUGAAACUCAAAGGAAUUGACGGGGGCCCGCACAAGCGGUGGAGCAUGUGGUUUAAUUCGAAGCUACGCGAAGAACCUUACCAGGUCUUGACAUCUUGCGCCAACCCUAGAGAUAGGGCGUUUCCUUCGGGAACGCAAUGACAGGUGGUGCAUGGUCGUCGUCAGCUCGUGUCGUGAGAUGUUGGGUUAAGUCCCGCAACGAGCGCAACCCUUGUUACUAGUUGCCAGCAUUAAGUUGGGCACUCUAGUGAGACUGCCGGUGACAAACCGGAGGAAGGUGGGGACGACGUCAGAUCAUCAUGCCCCUUAUGACCUGGGCUACACACGUGCUACAAUGGACGGUACAACGAGUCGCGAACUCGCGAGGGCAAGCAAAUCUCUUAAAACCGUUCUCAGUUCGGACUGCAGGCUGCAACUCGCCUGCACGAAGUCGGAAUCGCUAGUAAUCGCGGAUCAGCAUGCCGCGGUGAAUACGUUCCCGGGCCUUGUACACACCGCCCGUCACACCAUGAGAGUUUGUAACACCCAAAGUCGGUGGGGUAACCUUUUAGGAGCCAGCCGCCUAAGGUGGGACAGAUGAUUA